This 440-nucleotide ribosomal RNA is filed under the name uncultured bacterium. Its description in RNAcentral is "partial 16S ribosomal RNA". It matches the Rfam family "Bacterial small subunit ribosomal RNA", at positions 338 to 795 of the family's 1533-position model. The record is from RNAcentral.
CCUACGGGUGGCAGCAGUGAGGAAUAUUGGGCAAUGGAGGCAACUCUGACCCAGCCAUGCCGCGUGAGUGAUGAAGGUUUUCGGAUUGUAAAGCCCUUUCGGAAGUGAAGAUGAUGACGGUAGCAUACAAAUAAGCCCCGGCUAACUUCGUGCCAGCAGCCGCGGUAAUACGGAGGGGGCAAGCGUUGUUCGGAAUUACUGGGCGUAAAGGGAGUGUAGGCGGUUUAGUAAGAUAGAGGUGAAAUCCCAGGGCUUAACUAUGGAAUUGCCUUUGUAACUGUUAGUCUAGAGUUACAGAGAGGUUAGUGGAAUACCCGGUGUAGAGGUGAAAUUCGUAGAUAUUGGGUAGAACACCAGUGGCGAAGGCGACUAUCUAGCUGUACACUGACGCUGAGGCUCGAAAGCAUGGGGAUCAAACAGGAUUAGAUACCCGGGUAGUC